This is a non-coding RNA of Podarcis lilfordi (Lilford's wall lizard), 3375 nucleotides long. The record is from the annotation of a GenBank genome assembly. Lineage: Eukaryota; Metazoa; Chordata; Lepidosauria; Squamata; Lacertidae.
GUGUGGGUGUGUAUGUAUGUGUGUGUGUUGCCUCACUCUAGCAUUAAUGAAGUCUUAAAAUUGUUUGCUUGUGGGGAAUGGGUUCGUUUAAAAAAUAUUUACCCAUUGUACUGCUGUUUGUCAACCCGUUUAUAAAUCGGUGUGUUUAUGCUAAAGAUGUUUCUGCUAAAGAAGCAUAGAUGGAGUGCCAUAGAAAUAUAGAUGGGGUGCUAUAGAAAUAAAUAUUGGCUCAGUGAAACUAAAAUUCCUUUGCAUAGAUCUUAUAUACCAUAUACAGACUUAAUGACAUUUAAUCUUUGAGACAGAUAAUUUUCUCUGACAUGGAAAGUUGGCAGAGCACAUGUAGUCAUGCAUGUAAUUGGAACAAAGUUAUAAAAGGUAAAGAUGCCUUUUGGCUGGUCUUGCAAGGAAGAAGAGGUUGGUGCUGUUUUAUCUUAUAGAAAAAAUAAGAAAUCACUGUCUCUUCAAUCACACUAAUAAUUCACUUAGUUCAUGCAUUUUCUAACUUUAAAGAAUUAAAGUGGAUGCCAGAAAAUAAAAAUUCACAUAGUUGAGUAGACUUUGAGGCACAUUAGCCCCUAGUAUUCUUAUUCACUCCAGUGUGUGUCAUGCCCUAGCUUCUACUUUGCUUCCAGAAAUGUGAAUCUUGUAAAUGUCAGCUGAGCUUUAGUGGAAUGGAGGGACAGGAAAUUUUCUGAGACUACAGAGAUGGUUUGAGUUCCAAGGGGGAAUGAAUGCACCUGAUUAUUCCCCAAGCUUCUUAUCCACUUCUUAUCCAGCUUUUUCUAGUUUAGUCAAACUAGAAAAAUACAAUCUUUCACUUAGUUUACACUGAUCUUGGUUUUACUCAUCUUGUUGAAUGUACUAUACAGGCAGUAUUCAACAAAAGUUGAACAAAAAAGCUUAACUGGCAACCAUAAAUUGCAUCCAUAUCCUCACUAGACAGCACCAAUUCAGGGCUUUAAAAUCAGUUAGUUUUUUACUUGGAAAAAUUUGGGCUAGGAAAGAUGUGAGGCACUUGGCUCUCCAGAAGGUGCUUGUGACAUUGGAGAUUGUUAAAAUAUAAUUUUAGAUUGUUACUCUGCUGCAUUUGGCCAUAUAUUCAGAUAUACCAUCUCUGGGCAAUCUUGAAAUAUCUAGGCAGCUGGAAAAACAGAUCUCAAUUUAUUAUAAGCAGUUGGGGGACAAAUUAUUCCCUCCACUAGAUGAACUGAACAGAAUUUGGAGUGUGGAGGCACAAAUCAAUUCCCAACUUAAGUGAGGACAGAGACUAGUGGCAUCAGUUCAAAACAACCACUAUAAGCUAAAGUUAUACCACAGUAGUCAUCAACCGUUUGGGAACAUAUGUCUCAGGUCUAUUGUAUGAGAGUGUGAACAGUAAGAACAUAAGAAAAGCCCUGCUGGAUCAGUCCAGUGACCCAUCUAGUCCAGCAUCCUGUUCUCACAGUGGCCAACCAGCUGCCUCUGGGAAUCCCCCAAGCACAACAGCAUUCUGCCCACCCGUGAUUCCCAGCAACUAGUAUUUAGAGGCACACUGCCUCUGAUAUUGGAGGUAAAGCAUAGCCAUUGUGAUGACGAGGAGGUCUUGAUUUCCUUGUCCUUGAGUUUUGGCUAAUCCUCUCUUAAAGGCAUCCAAGUUGGUGGCCAUCUGCAAUGCACUUGCAGCUUUUUUCUCCAAGCUCUGAACCAUGUAGUAAUGGUAGAUCUGACCCUUGUCCUAGGGUCUUGUCCUAUUGGGCUUUACCCUACUGUGACACCCCUGUAUUGGCCAAUUUGUGUUGUGUUAUAUGUACACACAGCAACAAGCAAAGCCGUGUAUGUGUAUGGGAAAAUGUAGGGUUUGCAGAGCUAUUAUAAUGGAUAUAAUCUGCUAGAAGAACACAGUGCUUGUUUUUUUGUUUUGUAAUUUCUCAAAACAAGUUAAUAACAGGAAAAAGUUUUGCAAUUUACGAUCUAGUGUAGUGCAUCUGGAUUACUUUUCCCUCUCCCUUUUUGACUCUCACAUUAUUAUAACAUUAAAAGCCAAUCUGUCUAAAUAAUGUUAGUUCACACAUUAACAGGCUUUGCAUACUCUGAAGAUUUGGCUGUUUCAUUAUUCUUCUGAGAAUACCCAUUUUUGGAAGAAACAGAAGUUUGAAGUAUUUGGCUGCACAAUAUUCAUUUUUUGUUUUGCACCUUGUCAUUUAAUCACUUUGAAGUCCUAGUGGAAAAUAGUAUGAAAAUGCUGGUGUUGAGAGGAAACUUGUAUACAAAAGCAUGGCUGUUACCCAAAGCCCAGUUGUACACAGAGCUUUUAUUAGGCUGGGGACUCCUGGCUAUAAGCCCAGAUGCCUCAGAUUAUUGCCAGUUUCCUUAGACAUUCUAAAGUUGUGGAAUGGUGGGAACCUGAGAUGUUUGCUGUAUUGCAGACCUAGGUGCUGACAUAUUACAGUUUGUCUUUCUUAUUUAAAUUCAUCUUCCCCAAAUAGAGAUUUCUACUGUUUUGCAUGCAACUAAUUUUUUUUAAGUACCACACUGAAAAGCUGUUAAAAAUUUGUGGGAGAGUAAUUUGCAUAUUUAUUGUGGCACGAAUCAUGUACAUUUGUUAUGUGCUGAGUAUUGUAUUUGUUUGGGAGGAAUUGGCACUUCCUCAUGUUUCAGUUAGCAGUACAAGUGAGCUAAAAUGUUGGGUAUAUAACCAUCAUCUUGGAAAUCAAUGGAAAGGUACUAGCUGUGGUUUUAUGUUCUUCCCCAAACUGAAGAACGGAAGGAGGAUAACUUUUAAACAUGGAUGCUAGGGCUCGAGAAAUAUUUCAGAUUCCUUGGCUUCAGUACUCCUUGGAAUUUUUUUUUAUGCUGCCGGCAUUACACUGCACAUAGAAUUGAGUAAAUGGUCAAAAUUCCUGGGUGCUGCUGUUGCAUUUCUAGGUGAUCAAGCACAUUUCAUUUUUCCAGUGUUGAUGUGUGAUAAAUGAUAACUUUGGAGCAGGGAUUUUGGAACUGGGGCUGAAGGCAACUUUACAGUUAGGCAGAUGCAAUUUUUGGUGUUUAUCUCCAUUUAUAGUACUGUAUGUCAAAAGCUGGGUUACACAAAUUCUGGCUGGCCUUAAUAGUUGAGCCAAGAUGCUCAUCUUGAACCUAAGCCACACUGUGUUCAGUGGGGCUUACUCCCAAAUAAAUGGCCAUUAGCAAGGGUAUUGCAGAGAGAAAGGCAGGAUCUUGUUUGAGGGGUGAUAAGCUGCUGGCUGCAAAAUGGCCAGCGCAAUCCACAUCUCUAACUUGAAGCUGGGGAGGGAUGCAGAUCGUCUUUGUUGUAUUGAGCCCCCACCAAAAAACCUCAGCGUAACAGUAUGGGUGAGUCCUGCUUGUUCUGCAGCUUCAAUAUAGAAAGGGCGG